Molecule: long non-coding RNA, 181 nt
Organism: Xiphophorus couchianus (Monterrey platyfish)
Lineage: Eukaryota; Metazoa; Chordata; Actinopteri; Cyprinodontiformes; Poeciliidae
Exons: 2
Source: RefSeq, a predicted model, not a curated record
GCGUUCUGGAAAGCCUCCUUCAACUCGUCGUCCAUUGGCUGCUCUUUGCCCUGGAUCAUGAUGGUGGAGCAGCGAUCCAGGAUCCUUUCAGGGGCUCCCUUCAUCACCAGCAGAAAGCCCCGCCCUGGUCUGGAAAAGAGGGGAGAGACAUUACAGAGAGGAGAAUGGACAAAGAGAAACA